GUGCUUGCUUCAGCAGCACAUAUACUGAAACCGGAACGAUGCAGAGAGGAUUAGUAUGUCCCUUGUGCAAAUUCAUGAAGUGUUAAAAAAAAAACAAAACUGGU
Molecule: small nuclear RNA, 104 nt
Filed under: Dasypus novemcinctus (nine-banded armadillo)
Lineage: Eukaryota; Metazoa; Chordata; Mammalia; Cingulata; Dasypodidae
Source: RNAcentral